This 841-nucleotide long non-coding RNA is filed under the name Capra hircus (goat). RNAcentral describes it as "lncRNA (ENSCHIG00000006870.1)". Lineage: Eukaryota; Metazoa; Chordata; Mammalia; Artiodactyla; Bovidae. The record is from RNAcentral.
UGACCCUGCUCCUCCAACCCUCUUUGUGAGAGAUGAAAGUCAAAAUGCGUACAUGUCGAAUACAGCAGUGUUCCAGUUUGUUUGAAUUCUUAAGUGAAAACAUUCACUCUAGAGUUCACCAUAAAGUGAAGUAAAAUCCUGAAAUAAGCUUUGGCAAUAGAAUCAUCAGGAAAUUCCUAUGGAAAAAAGUUGAAUAUCUGUGCCUGUGGAUGGGACAUAAACCUUCUCAGAGAGGCUGAAGCAAGAUUCCUGGAAUAAAAUAAGUGUAUAUUCUUGUAGGAGUUAGCACUUUCUACUUUACUCUGGAGAAGAUAAUCAGAUCCAACAAGAUCUGCUAUUUCCCAAAGUCAAACAGGAAUGGAGUGAUCGAUAUGAUGAGAAAAUGCAAGUUUUACUGCUUCAUUUCUUUUUGCCUUCCUCCAGGAAAUUUGUGUUUGGAUGGGAUAGUCUUCAGAUUUCUCAAGUUCAGAUUCACUGGGAGAAGCAGCAUAUUAAGUCACAGGGCUUCCCAAAUGGCUCAGUGGUAAAGAAUCCACCUGCUAAUGCAGGAGGUGCAGGUUCAAUCCCUGGGUGAAGAAUACCUCUUGGAGAAGGAAAUAGCAACCCACUCCAGUACUCUCACCUGGAAGAUCCCAUGAACAGAGGAGCUGACGAGCUACAGUCCAUGGAGUCACAGAAGAGUCGGACAUGACCUAAUGACUAAACAACAACUCUUGCAGAGCUUCUUUUAUUGAAUUGAGCAUUGGUAUAACUAGGUCUAGACUGAGACACGUGGAAGCCAUGGGUAAGACAGUCAUGCGACACCCCACCAAACCAAUGUUUUAAAAGGAUAUUUUUAAUA